Molecule: ribosomal RNA, 160 nt
Filed under: uncultured bacterium
Lineage: Bacteria
Description: partial 16S ribosomal RNA
Rfam family: Bacterial small subunit ribosomal RNA
Source: RNAcentral
UAGGGAAUCUUCCACAAUGGGCGAAAGUCUGAUGGAGCAAUGCCGCGUGAGUGAAGAAGGGUUUCGGCUCGUAAAACUCUGUUGUUAAAGAAGAACACCUUUGAGAGUAACUGUUCAAGGGUUGACGGUAUUUAACCAGAAAGCCACGGCUAACUACGUG